ACGCCCCCCUAAUGCAGCUGAUACCAGUGUAUUGGUUUUUUUUUAAAUAAAGUUACAAAGAUUACGGCCAGUUCCUAAAAAAAAAAAAACCAACCCCAAAACCAAACCAACAAAAAUGCGGUGGCGUGAAUUGAACUGUUGAACUGCAGGGCGUGAGGGACCCUGUUUCAAAGUGUGCAUGCAGGAAUUGAAGGAAAAUCUUGCAGAUCCCCCCAGGUUAAACUGCCCCUAUGUUGUGUAAGUGGAAUUGUAUAUCCUUGAUGUGGGAUGGGGGAAAAAAAAAAAAGUGUCAAUGGAAGGCAACUGCAUGGGCCUGCAGAUGCAGGUUUAAAUAACCAGGCUGCGGCUCCUGCUUAUGCCGCCGAAGUUGGUAGGUCAGACCAAGCCCUUUGGCAGACUCUGAAUGGAUUAGCUGGCAGUGGCUGAAAACCCUGCCCAGCAGUUUCAUUUCCAUGGCCUUUCUGGAAGAGGCACUUUCUUUGCUCAGCACAAGAGUUCUUCUCCCCAGUGUGUUCUGAGUCAGGAGUGGCAGGACUGGCUGGACAAUGAUGACUGUGUAGCAUAGUAGCCUUUUAGUUUUCAACCUUUUCUUCUUCAUAGGGUCAAAGAUAAACCUCUUAGAUGCUUUGAAAAACCUGACCCUGUCUCUGGAAAUAACUGAAGUGUCCAGCCUGGAUCAAAGAAACCUUUCCUUCAAAAACAUUGUCAAAACUGAGAUUUUUUUUUAAAAGCUUUUGGCUCUGAUGAAAGCCAAAUGAUGAAAUCGGUGUGUAUUUGAUGGGAAGUGUUCCAGCCAGCUCUAAUAAGGACACUACUCAGUAUUUUAAUGACAACCUUCAAUAGCAAAACUCUAUUUUGGCUCCUUUGUGUUCCUACCACUGUACUACCUGGGCAAUCUCCCAGUCUUUAAUGUAUUUUUUCCUCACAGUAUACCUGGAAAAUGCUAUUGUCCCGACUUUACAGAUGAGCAAUGGAAGCACAGGAAGGUGAGGCGACUUACUGAAGAUCGUACAGUCAAGUUUUCAAUGGAGGAAAAAAAUCAUUCUCCUUGUCCAAGAUCAUAAACUAGUGUCGCGAGUUGGGGUACCUAGUGCUAUUUUUCUCUUAUAUGACCCUGAUCCGCUCUGUCCAAAACUUGAGAGUAUGCAAAACCUGACAGAUCAUUUGUCCCGUAUGUAAGAAAUGUAAGAGAGAGAUCAUUUGUAGGUGAGGUCUAUCACCUGCUCUGUCAGUUGUUGGGCUGCCCUGAAAGACUUGCUAUUUAUUUACAGAAGACAGUUAGAAAAAAACACUUUUAUCCUUGUUUCUUUCUUCCUGCUCCCUACUUCCACCUUGUAUUUUUGGGGCUUGCAUACUGCAGAUGCUAUCUGUAAACUCCCACCUCAAUUUUCUGUGAAGCUUUCAGCAGGUGGGAAAGUCUCUCCAAGAAGGAUGGAAAUGAGAGCCAGACAAUAUUUGGUUCACUAGAGAAAAAUAUCACAGUUUCUUUCAGGAAGCAGAGGAAGCAGCAGAAACUAUACCUAACUAGAAAAGGAGAUCAUAUUUGCUUACAUUGUUUGAAAUCCAUGAAUGCCUAAUUUGGUACCCUUGCAUGAGAUGGCAGACCAGCAGCCUUUUAUAAGUGAGGGUGCUGAUGUUUUCCACUAGUCCUCAGUUUAAAAGCAGUGACAGGAUUUCAAAGGGAGAAAGAGAAAUACAGUUUUCUGGUGAGAAACACAGUCCAUAAUUCAGAAGACAUUGAGGAUGCAGGAAAAGAGCUGCAACAGGCCAAGUGUGAAUCAUCAGGUUCAGAUAAAAUUUGAAUAGUUUGGAGGAAAAGAUUCUGCUGAGGGUUUUUGGAAAUGGAGCUGCAACUUCUGCAAAGAAGGCCUUGAACCACAGAAGAGCACUUCUCUUCAGCCGCAGGGAGAAACUGCAUCUUUUAUGUGUUGGUACUAUGUUGGUGUGAGGCUAUGGUCUUACACAAGCCCAUGCCAGUUUAGGCGUAUGAAAUCACAUGAUAGGCAAGUGUUAAAUGCAGAUGUAAUUCCUAUAUAUCUACCUUUAUUACAGGAAAUCUUUGCCUCUUCCUUUUUCUUAAACUUUGUGAGUAUUUUAUUUUAAUUUAAGUAUCUGAUAGUAGUGAGGAAACUGAAACUAAUUCAUGACCAAAGAACAUCCUUCAUCACUUCUUGCUUCUUGUCAGAAAAACAAUUCGCUGCCACUGGAAGCUUGCGCCAGGAAUUUCCCUGCAGGCCUAAGUUUCCACCGCCUUGGAACAUCAAAAUGCUGAACUCGCAGACUGUAGAGAGAAGUUUCUUCCCAGAGAAUAAUCAUCAAGGGCACGUCUUUCAUGGGGAGCAACUGAGUAAUUCCCAGGAUCCAAGUGUCACCGCACUUGUGGUGUUCAUGAGCGGGUCUGCAGAGGGGAUGAAGAAAGAGGAGGGUUUCCACCAUGAGAACGCAGGCAAAGAGAAGGCCCUGCCCUCUCUCACGUAACUGUCACGGCCUCGGUCUGUCGUGACAUUUUGCCUUCCCACGGAAGGGCCGCGGAGCCCUGUUAGUCAGAGGGACCUUGGGAACCAGCACUUCCCACGUUUUGAUGU
Aquila chrysaetos chrysaetos is the source of this 2585-nucleotide long non-coding RNA. RefSeq lists it as uncharacterized. The transcript has 3 exons. NCBI's taxonomy places the organism in Eukaryota, Metazoa, Chordata, Aves, Accipitriformes, Accipitridae. The record is from RefSeq and is a predicted model, not a curated record.